GUGAUCGUAGCUCAGCUGGUAGAGCACUUGCCUGUGGAGCGAGGUGUCAUGGGUUCAAAUCCCAUCGAUCACCCCA
This 76-nucleotide transfer RNA is filed under the name Patescibacteria group bacterium. RNAcentral describes it as "tRNA-His". It matches the Rfam family "tRNA". From Rfam's summary of the family: Transfer RNA (tRNA) molecules are approximately 80 nucleotides in length. The record is from RNAcentral.